GGCUCAGAUUGAACGCUGGCGGCAUGCCUUACACAUGCAAGUCGAACGGCAGGCACGGGGCAACCUGGUGGCGAGUGGCGAACGGGUGAGUAAUGCAUCGGAACGUGCCAUUGAGUGGGGGAUAACGUAGCGAAAGUUGCGCUAAUACCGCAUAUUCUGUGAGCAGGAAAGCAGGGGACCGCAAGGCCUUGCGCUCUUUGAGCGGCCGAUGUCAGAUUAGCUAGUUGGUGAGGUAACGGCUUACCAAGGCGACGAUCUGUAGCGGGUCUGAGAGGAUGAUCCGCCACACUGGAACUGAGACACGGUCCAGACUCCUACGGGAGGCAGCAGUGGGGAAUUUUGGACAAUGGGCGCAAGCCUGAUCCAGCCAUGCCGCGUGAGUGAAGAAGGCCUUCGGGUUGUAAAGCUCUUUCGGCCGGGAAGAAAUCGCAUGGGUUAAUACCCUGUGUGGAUGACGGUACCGGAAUAAGAAGCACCGGCUAACUACGUG
This 490-nucleotide ribosomal RNA is filed under the name uncultured bacterium. RNAcentral's name for it is "bacterial SSU rRNA". It matches the Rfam family "Bacterial small subunit ribosomal RNA", at positions 21 to 507 of the family's 1533-position model. The record is from RNAcentral.